GAUGAACGCUAGCGGCAGGCCUAAUACAUGCAAGUCGAACGAGAAGCCCUUCGGGGUGGAAAGUGGCGCACGGGUGCGUAACGCGUAUGCAACUUACCUCUUACUGGGGAAUAACUUCGCGAAAGUGGAGCUAAUACCGCAUAAUAAACGCUGGGGCAUCCCAAUGUUUAAAAGGUACGUAGGAGAUGGGCAUGCGUCCAUUAGCUAGUUGGUAGGGUAAUGGCUUACCAAGGCGACGAUGGGUAGGGGAACUGAGAGGUUGAUCCCCCACACUGGUACUGAGAUACGGACCAGACUCCUACGGGAGCAGCAGUAAGGAUAUUGGUCAAUGGACGAGAGUCUGAACCAGCCAUGCCGCGUGCAGGAAGAAGGCGUUACGCGU
This 382-nucleotide ribosomal RNA is filed under the name uncultured bacterium. Its description in RNAcentral is "bacterial SSU rRNA". It matches the Rfam family "Bacterial small subunit ribosomal RNA", at positions 28 to 423 of the family's 1533-position model. The record is from RNAcentral.